UUCUUUUCUUUCUCUUUCUUUCCGUGCAACUCUCCUACUCGAAUUGCAAGCCUGGAGGCUUCUCUCUCUCUCUCUUUUUUUUUUCUUCCCCUUUCCUCUUUUCUUCCUCCUUCCUCCUUUCUUAUUUCUCUAAAAGGGUUUUGUUUGCUGUGGGAGUUUCGUUUGAAAAUCGAGUCACGCCUUUUUCCUUCUUUUCUUUCUCCCUCUCCUUUUGCCCCCCCCCUCCUCUCAGCAGAAAAGGGGAACAAAGAUUAACAAGCGGGGGAGAAGGGAGCCUCAGAACCUCGAAUGGAAAUGGGGGGCUGUCCCUGCCGGGCACAAAGGGGGCCCGAGAGAACAGCCCCCCCGGAAGCCUGGGGUGUCCUAUCCCAAAGAAGAGCCACUGGGAUGGGGGUCCGGGGGAGCCCCUGGGUGCCCAGUCCUUCCGAAAUACUGGUAGGGGCUCUGAGUCCGCCCCCUCCCAGCCAGGGGUGGAAGCUGGUGUGUGUGUGUGUGGGGGGGGGUGCUCUUCACUUAAUAUAUUUUUUAAGUGGGCAGAUGGGCUUGGAGCAAACGCAGCCGCAGAGCCCUGAACACUAAAGCGCCUUUAAACAGCUGUUCCGAGCCCUGGACGGUCAGCCUCGAGGGAACGGCUCCGGCUGUGAUCGCCGGGACCCGUGUGCGAAGGGGUUCAGGGGAGUUCAGCUCCUCGCGGCCUCCCCAAGCCUAGGGCCUAGGUUCGGCCCCCGGGGUGCACGGCUGGGGGGCGCCGAGGCGUGGUCGUUAGCUGAGGUCUGGGCCCUUGUGGCUCCCUGCGGGGCCCGGGGUUCAGCCUAGCCUGGCCUCCUCCCAGCGCUGGGACAGGCCGGACACCCCGCCUCCAACCUCCCGGACACCCGCCACUCAGCUGCGCCGCUCGACUCGGACGCAGGGCGGGUGCCGAGCCCGCGGACAGAGCCGGGCAGUGUCGCCACCAAGGGUCAAUUAUUCAUGGGGCGCCUGGGCGUGCUCCCAAGACCAGCUCUGUCCUCGACUUCUCCGGAGGAGUGGAGACAACACGGGGGAAAAGUUCCCAGAGCAAAGUUGGCCACAUUUCUUAUUUUCCCAAGGGAGACACAUGUGCCCAAGUCUGCAUGUGGAGGUCAGAGGACAACUUUCAGGAGGCCCUUCUUUCCUUCCAACGAAUGGAUCUCAGAAAUGGAACUUUGGUUAAAUCUGGGCAUGGCAGCAAAUGCCUUCAGAAAUGUCUCCUGCAGACUCACGUGUCAGAACCCUCGAUCGCCAGCUAGCAGCGCGGUUCCGGGACUGAGCCUGGCUGGCGGAAGUGGGUCACCGGGAGUGGUUCUCGGAGUUGCAGCCAGGCCCUGCUUCAGCUUCCAUUCUCUCUGCUUCCUGAGCUGUCAAGAUGUGUGACAUGCUUCGACUGUCCCCACACACUGCCACCUCCACAGAGCUGUCUCCCCUGCCUUCCCGGACUCGGUGGACUAAACAUCCGGGAACCCAAGCGAAUCCUGCCUCCCUCCGGGUGCUUCUGUCGGGUGCAGGAGAAAAGGACCCACACAAAACACUAUCAGGGAGAGGUGCCGACAAAUCUUAGGACUUCCAUGAAAUAAUUCUCUAGACACUGUAACGGAGAAGUUUUUAGGUUGCACAGAGCGCCCCCCCCCAAAAAAAAAGGAGAUUAAGAUCCCCUCCCUCCGAUUCUGCGCUUGUGCUCCCUGGGCAAGAGGCCUCCCCUCUAUCUGGAGUUCUCCUGGAAGCGUCCCCUAGCACUGAUGCGCUGCACCCCGAUUCCUCACUCAGUUCCUUUUCUUCCCACGAGAUUAUGAACUUCUGAGAAAACUGGUUUUCUUCU
This is a long non-coding RNA of Onychomys torridus (southern grasshopper mouse), 1834 nucleotides long. RefSeq lists it as uncharacterized. The record is from RefSeq and is a predicted model, not a curated record. NCBI's taxonomy places the organism in Eukaryota, Metazoa, Chordata, Mammalia, Rodentia, Cricetidae. The transcript is spliced from 3 exons.